Long non-coding RNA from Cuculus canorus (common cuckoo), 6330 nucleotides. RefSeq lists it as uncharacterized. The record is from RefSeq and is a predicted model, not a curated record. Lineage: Eukaryota; Metazoa; Chordata; Aves; Cuculiformes; Cuculidae. The transcript has 3 exons.
CAUAGGGGCUCGGGGCCUCCCGCCCCCCUACGCUGAUUGCGUAAAAGCUCUGUGCCUCCCGCUCCUCUCCGCUGUUUACGUAAGGGCUCUAUGUCUCCCGCCCCUCUCCGCUGUUUGCGUGAGGGCUCGGUGCCUCUAGCCGCUCUCCACUAUUUGCUCAUGUUUCUACUGUGCCUCUCCUUACGUACUUAUAUCUGCGUUUUUACCUAGUUUGAGGGUCUUUGCAGCAUUUCCAGGUGCUGGCGUUUGCCCCGACAAGCUGCUGGCCUGUGCAGGAUCCCUAGAGACAGCAUUGCUGCAAAUCUGGCUGCUGAGAUGCAGAUUUCCCUGAGGAACAGAGGAAUUGUGGGAGCAGAUGUGGUUCGUGUGCUGUGCUUCCCCUGGAGCCAGCAGGGAGACUGUGCAUCUGCCGGAGAGGCACCAAGGAGGGUUCUGAAGUAAGAACGCUUGGUGCCUGUCGAAGCCCCAAGGGAAGAGGGGAUCCCCCUUCCAGCUGCCCAGGCGCUUUGGCAGCCAGUGGCCCAGGAGGGCAGAUGGCCCUGAUUGCAUGUCCAGAAGUUGAGCCAAGGGUGACAAAAUGUUUUCCCAGUCUUUUAGGAAACCUGGGCCAACCUAUGAAGGCGAGGAAUCACAGAAUCACAGAAUGGUCAGGGCUGGAAGAGACCUCUGGAGAUCUAGUCCAACCCCGCUGCUAAAGCUGGUUCACCUACAGCAGGGUGCACAGGAACGUGUCCAGGUGAGGUCUGUAUAUCUCCAGAGAAGAAGACUCCACAACCUACCUGGGCAGCCUGUUCCAAUGCUCCCUUGUUCUCCCAGUAGAGAUGUUUUUCCUCUUGUUAAAGUGGAACUUCCUAUGUUCCAGUUUGUACCUGUUGUCCCUUGUCCUGUUGCUGCGUACCAUUGAGAAGAGUUUGGCCCCAUCCUCUUGACACUUGCCCUUUAGAUAUUUAUAAGCAUUGAUAAGAUCCCUUCUCAGUCUUCUCUUCUUCAGGCUAAACAGACCCUGGUCUCGCCCCUUUUCUUCAUAAGAGAGAUGAUCCAGUCCCUUCAUCACCUUUGUGGCCCUCUCCUGGACUCUUUCCAAUAAUUCCUUGUCUUUCUUGAACUGGGGAGCCCAGAACUGGACAUAAAAUGAAAGCUAAAAUACUACAGUAAGUGAGAGGUGAUUUUUUUUCCAUGUUGGGGCAGUAAGUGAAAGGUGAUCUGAUGGGUGUUUCCAUGUUGGAUUCAUUGAAUUAUUUGCAUUUUGUGAGGAGAAAGUAUUCAGGACAUUCCUAGCUGGGUACAGGAUGCGGUACAUUUUGAGUAGAAAUUGGCAUUAAUUGUUUCUUUUGGAACAGGUUCAGAGGUUUCUGGAUUCAUUAAUGUCUAAAACUCAAAGCAAAAUGCAGGAGAUACAAAGCCUGUGAUAGCAAGACAUAUAGCAUUGUUUCUGUUAAUCCCAGAAUCCCACUGUCUCAAUAAAACCACAGAAAAAUGUUUUUAUAUUCGAAAGGUGUGGAAAGUAUGAUUUUCCAGGUCUAUCCGUACACUACUUCCAUCUCUUGGCACAAGAGAAAUUUCUGGUUGGGGAAGUAUAGUCUCAUCUCCAGACUCUUUCAGAAGAUGUCUUGGAAUUACCCCAAGGGCCUGGAUCGUCAGGACAGUAAAGGACAGGCUUGAUGGUGGCAUGAGCACCUACAUACCCUUUUUUUUCCCCCCAACUAAUGUAGUGCUGUCAUGACCCUUGAGAAAAGGUAGAAGAGUCUGAACCUCCUAUAUUUGAACUUCUCCAUGUCAUCAGCACCUGUAAAAGAGAAAAAUUCUUUGGCAUCUUUUAACCUUUUCUUCCACUGACAUGUCCUCUCAUUCACAAACUAGAAAUUAUUUGCCUGCCCACUUCCCUUUAGAAUAUCCUUCAGCAUCAGAGAUACCAUCUAUUUUCUCUUGGGUGGUCUUACAAAUCUUACAAAUCAAACUAAAUUUUAGAGCAGUUGGUCUCAACUGGUUUUCAUUUUUUCAAGGCUGCUGCUUCUAUUUUGGACCUGGAGGAGGACUGAUGUACUUGAAAGCUUAUUGAUUUUUCCCAGCUAGACCGGUGGGUCUAAUAACAGGUCUGCCUGCAAACCUUAUUUUGGUCAUAUGCUUGAGUACUUGGAAACAAUACUGUUUUGUUAUUUCUUCUGGCAUAAUUUAUGGCUGUCAGCAUUAUGCAAAUAUGACAGCAAUAACUAGUAAUGAUAUGGAGAGAGUUAUGUUGGCCUGUCAGCAAUGUUCCUAAACUUCAUCGGGGGAAAAUAAACAGAUAAAUCUCAAGCAUUUGAUGUACUGGAAGGAACUGCAAUGCAAAUGCAUCAUUAUGAAGUUGCCAUGAUACAGUCAUUUGUUCUAUCUGGGUCAAAUAUUUCUUUUUUUUAUUUCUAUGUGUUCCUAACUCAGAGAAAAUUGAUGUUCAUGGGUGUGUUUUUCCCCGCUAAUGGCAUUCCAGAGCAAUUUGCAGUUUCCCUGCGGUCCCCUUAGGGUGAAGGAUACUGGAUGGUACGGAAGCAGACACUUGAGUCUUGUAAGCCCAUCAACAGAAGUGCUAGUGAUGAGUGUAGGAGACGGUGGCAGUUGUUAACAUUGAAGUGUUAAAUGAGACAUUGGGACUGAGGCAAUUGAGUUUCUGGCAGCCAUGGGAGUGACAGAUCCAAAUACCAAAAUUUUACGUCUGCAGCUGUGUCAUAUUAAUAGUUUCAGCAAUGGCCUCUUUCCUCAUGCUGACUGGGAGAUAACGGUGGAUCUUGGCAUAUACAGUCCACCAACAUUUCUCCAGUGGGUAGGGGACAUGUCCUCUAUGUCUGCAAAAUGGAGCCAUCUGUGUGGUCCUGCUCAGCAGUGGCCGAGACCUUGAAGUGCAUUUCUCUCUUGCAUCCCUUGUGGGAGAGGCAUUGCGAAAGCAAGCACAUAGUCUUUACUCUCCUUCUUGUCUGGAUGACCUCAGGUGGGUAAUCAGGACAGUGUUCUCCCAGCAUGGCCCCUGGUGCCUCAGGGCAGCAAGGAGUAGUGGUGAGGCGAGACUCCAGUCUGCUCAACUCUCACACCUUCUGCAGAUGUUGGCAUAACUUCCCUGCUCCAGAUUUGUUUCCGUUUGCAAGAAGCGGUAAAGGCCCAUGUGGCUGGUAAGGAGCAGGAAUGUACUUUUCCUUAAAUAUCAUAGCACAUACCCAAAAGCCUGGUAGAGAAGCGGAAUAAGCCAGCCCUGAAGAUUUGCUCCCUCCCCCUCAAAAAAAUAAAAAAGAUGUGGCAUUUUUUCUGAAAAUAUAUCCUUACGUAAUUUGUCCUCAUUUUGGUUUUUAAUAACCAGCACAGCUCAGCCAGCACCGAUUGACUGGCUGCAAUUAACCUCUAUAAUAUUAUUUGAGCUUCUUUUUGAGGAGGGCUGUUUCGUCUUAGCCCACAGGCCUUAUUUUAGAUAAUGAAUUAGUGUCUUAAACUGUGAAUUAGGGCUGUGUUGCACAAAACUACUCCCUCUACUCCCUUCCGUUUAUGAGACCUUGGUUAGCGCUUCCUUUUGCCUUUAAAUGGAUUGGGGGACUUUUAAAACCUUGAGAAAAUUGCUCCUUAUCAUUUGUUAUAUCUGUGUUGCCAACAGCAUCAAUGGGCAGGGCCUAAUUAGAAAGAAAUCAUUACUAGAGCCCAGGGUUCUUUGUUGAAUGAACUUAUAGAACCACAAGUUUGGGUUGGAAAGGACCUUAAAGAUCAUCCAGCUCCAACCCUCCUGCCAUAGGCAGGGACGUCUCCCACCAGGCCAGGCUGCUCAAGGCUCCAUCCAACCUGGCCUUGAACACUUCCAGAGAGGAGCAUCCACAAUUUCCCUGGGCAACCUGUGCCAGUGCCUCAACACUGUCAUCAUUAAGAGUUUAUUCUCAAUAUCUAAUCUAAAUCUUCCUCCUUCCAAUUUAAAGCUAUUUCUCCUCAUUCUAUCACUGCAGGCCCCUGUAUAAAGUUCCUCCCCUGCUUUCUUGUGGGCCCCCUUCAGGUUCUGGAAGCCCACUAUGAGGUCUCCUAUGAACCUUCUCUUCUCCAGGCUGAACAACCCCAAGCCGCUCAGCCUGCCCUCAUAGCAGAGGUGCUCCAGCCCUCUGAUCUUCUUCACGGCCCUCCUCUAGACCCAUUCCAACAGUUUCAUAUCCUUCUUAUGUUGGGGAUUCCAGAACUGGACACAAUACUCGAGGUAGGGUUUCACGAGAACAGAGCAGAGGGGGAAAAUUAUCUCCCUUGACGUGCUGGCCAUGCUUCUUUUGAUGCAGCCCAGGAUACUUAUGUAUCUAAUAAUAUCAGUUCUCUAGUAUCUCCUAUGCUCUGAAUUUUUUAAAUAUUAGGGAGUAACUGGUCCUUAUUUUAAUGUCUGUAGCUAGUGGACGUGUGGCUAGUUUGUUGUAAAACUACUUAAAUCUGUAAGGCUGAGCAAUGAGAAGAGAUACAUCCUUUAUUUCCCAAAUGGUUGAUAAAACUGCUAGAAUUGCCGAGAAUUUGAGUAAAAAUCGUAUUUGCUGCCUCAUCCCCACUGUAUCCUUCCCUGUCCCAAGCACGGUCAUGCUCUGGGCUCCAGGGCCCAGCAGAGGGGCUUGCUGGGCAGAAGCUGGUUGCUCCAGGCGGGAAGUUCCAGCCUGCAGCUGCCUUAGGCGUGAGCCUGGGGACUUUUCCACCACACUUUUUGGCAUGAGUCUGUCCACUGGGUUCAAGAUGCGCAGACUAAGUAGGUAAGAGGGAUGGUGGCACGGAAGGUCAUGCCCAAGUGUCCUGGGGGUAAAUGUCUAUGUGCCCAUGGUAAGGGUGUAAACAGGAUUGCUGUUGGAAACACCGAAGGGAGUGUGGGCUCAGUGAUGGUUUUGAUGUGUAGGACUAUUAACCACUGUGGGGUUGGAGCCCCUGUUGUUCAGGUACCAACAGACUUACAGAGACGCCUGCAAUGCAAUUAGGUAGCAGAAACAGCAAGAACCUGGUAUCAACACCUUUCAGAUUUCUUAACAGUGCCUUGACUGAGGAGCCAGUAAAACCUAAUUCACUGUCGCUACCCCAAGAACAUGCAGUCCGCCUCCUGGAGAGCACCUGCAUGCCAGAGGAAUGUUAAAGCAAUAUAAGUAAGUCACACCUAAAACCUCCACAUGAUUUCAGACGGGGAGGCCAGGAGGGAGAAAUCACCUUCAAAUUCAAUAAUCCUCAUUUUAAAGCACAUCCAAUUGCAAUUUAUUAAGUAAGAGAGAUACAAACAGUUCUGACAUUUAGAUUCCACUGAUGUUUCAAAACCAAAUGCAAUAUAUUAUGUGAAGCACAUUUUCCACAAAGGAUCUUUUUAUUUUUAUAAGACAACAGACUCCAGAUUUGAAUAAUAUAUUUAGUGUUGACUGUAACUUUCAUUUCUGUAGCAGAGAAACACUAAUUCAUGGGCUGUGUUAAGAAAUGCUUUAGGUUGGGGACAUUUUUAACGGAAAUGCAGAUUCUGGGAAGGUUACUUCACCUGCAGAGUCACAUCAAAAGCUCUGUCCAGUUUCUAGACCUUAGGCUUAUUGUAAAGCCUAAUCAUUACAUGUUUGCACUGUAAUUCAGUCUGAUGUACACUAGGUCUAUUUGUAUUCGUGCCCCUACCUAGAUCAGUUUCUGGCAUAUAAAUAAUAUGCUGGAUAGAAAUACACAUGUGAAUGAAAAGUCCCCAUCCGAACCCAUCUCAAAGAUUAAGUGGGGAAAAUUUCUGGAAACUAGAAUCAGAAACACUGCUUCAGCAAAAUAACAGGUUGUCUUGCUUGGGUGAGGGCAAGCUGAGAGGGGCUCCCAGGAGCUAAACUUUAGACCCAAUACUAACACAGAACAUGUUGGGUUUUAGGAGUUGCCUGAUGAAAACUGGACAACUACUGUCAGUCCAGAAGGUAACUCCUCACCCUAAGUCUUACCUUAGCCAGUGGCCCUGUCCUAAAACCACCAUUUUCCCUCUAAUGCAACUAUAAAGGGAACCUGAGACAACUGCAUCAGCAAACAGAAUAUGUCAAGUUGGAAGAGACCCAUAAGGAUCAAGUCCAAUUCAGUAGAUGCCUGGCUUGUAGGUACCCAAAAUUCCCAAAGCAAGAGAGCUUUGCUUAUGUAUGCUCCACACUGAGGGCACGGAGGUAGCAGGCAUUCAAGACUUACACUGCCUCUCACCACGAAGUGCCUCCUGCUGCCGAUGAUUUUUUUCCCCAGCAGAUGGCCCAGCCAGCCAUGUCUCGCCAGCCUCACUGCAGGAGCAUUUCAUGGUGUCCUCUGCACGUUAUUCCAGGCCAGCACCUUUGAAAUCAACCUGAGUUUUAGUUUAUACAGAAAGCAGUUUUACCU